This is a long non-coding RNA of Dermacentor silvarum, 1918 nucleotides long. RefSeq lists it as uncharacterized. The record is from RefSeq and is a predicted model, not a curated record. The transcript is spliced from 3 exons. Lineage: Eukaryota; Metazoa; Arthropoda; Arachnida; Ixodida; Ixodidae.
UUUUGCCAACACUAUUAACGUUCGCACAAUUAUGUCAUGCUUUAAUAAAUUCACUUUGUUUUCCUGAUGCCAAGAAUACGAAGAGCAAGCCAUGUGAACUACCUUGCUGAGACGGUCACAGAGUGUGUGCGGUCUGUCAGUGAAGCGAAAUUCUCUCGCAUCGCAUCUCCCGAUAGCGCCCGUGCUUUAGUACAGCUCGCUGCUUUGCAGAACAGGCACACUUCGAACAUAAGCUUAUUCCCUUAGUCACUAUUUUGUGUCAGAAACAAACUGUAGUCGAUUUUUAAGCCUCCAUGAGCGGCGAUAGACACGAAUGCCUUGGCUGUGGUGAUAGACCGCUGCUGGCGACCCUCUGUUGCAGAUUUCACAGUCUGCGCAGGUCGGUUGUUUGUACGUCGUCCGAUAUAUAGCCACAUCCUGCUGGACUUGAAAUUAGUUGUGUGCGGUAGUUGGUACAAGUCGGAUGCCGGAUUGUACCGUGUGUCUCUUUAUAGCAGAUGAACAGCCCUACACGGAAGCGAGCAAGCAGCAUCCUGUUGUGCUCCGUGCAAGUAUCCCGAUCUAUGAUGUCAACAAUAUUCACGGAGCCAGCAAACCAUCACAGAUGCUGAGCAGCCACUAAAUGUGUUAUAUUGAUAACAAUGUUGCGAUGUGCAGCCAACUCAGAUAGAGCAUUCCCACUUAAUUUAUAACCAUGUUAAAAUAUGUUCUAGGCAACAUCAGCCAUUAAUACUCAGUCAGAUGCACGUAUGUAUGCAGGAGAAUCGAAGAAUCGAACAUUAACAUCUUGAGUUUAAAAUUUUGGCGUCAGUAGUCCUUUAAACAAGAUGCAGAAAACACCAAAACACACAGCUGAUUCAUUUGGCAGUACUUGCCCGAUUCUAACAUGCCCCCGACAGAAACGCGUAACCAAAGGUAAUUAGGUCAAUGUUUCCAAAGUGAAAAACUAACAUAGGAAUGACAUUACAGCUACUGAAUAAAGUAUAAAUCUAACGCUCACCCGAUUUUUUAGCAAGAAAAAUGGGCAAUGGUCUAAUAUCUGUUGCACAAGGGCGGCCGAUUUUCUAAAGUCAGCUUGGCCGCAAUAUAUACAUCUGUGUUAUGCGGUAAAGCAUACAGACGCCGCGAAAGUGAUUUUUGUUUCGUAUCCGUAUUGCACCGUGAAGGCAAUUCUCGGCCCAACAAUCUUAAAAAGAAAAACGCAGGCACGCAUUACAAUAGGCUAAAUACCAUAAUCAGACAUUGAGAGCUAUGGUUAUCGCUUGAAAAUCUCUUUAGAGCAGGCCGAAAAUUUUUGACGGGAGAUAACGUGUCUUCAACGCAUUCACUGUCCUCUAAGCUUCGCCGUCAGAUGCUGCCACUAAAGGGGUCGCUCCUGGAGUCACCAUAGGGGUCAGGGGCAUGCGUGCAGACUGGCCCAAGUUCGAAUUAUCUGGCAACAACAAAUUUUACGACUGAAACAACUAAAGUUUGAGUCCACAGAAAUGCAUGGACACUGUAUGGAACCUUCGGUCUGGAUUGAAUCAGCCGAAAAAUCAAAUUGACGAGAGUCGAAUUAACAGAAGUCUCCUGUAACGAAGUCACACCCGACAACAAAAUACUUUCAUCAUAUCUGAUAUUUGUUACAAGUAGGGGUGUGCAAAUAUCAAAUUAUUUCAUUAAAAAUCAAAUACGAAUAUGUAGCUAUGAAUACUGAACCGAAUAUUGAAUAAUGAUGUGCCCAUGCAUUUAUUAGGAAGUUUGGGUAUUUUAACGUGUUGGAACAACACAAUUACAUUGUCAACAGUAAAAAAAUGAUAGUAAGUCAUUAUACUAAAAGAUUGUAUUUGACUCAUGUUAACUUGGGAAAUUAAGCAAUUCCUACUAGCUGGCUGUUCUCACCAACCUGUGCCUUAUUCACCAUCAUCAUCAAGCCUAU